This is a long non-coding RNA of Gorilla gorilla gorilla (western lowland gorilla), 354 nucleotides long. RefSeq lists it as uncharacterized. The record is from RefSeq and is a predicted model, not a curated record. The transcript has 3 exons. Lineage: Eukaryota; Metazoa; Chordata; Mammalia; Primates; Hominidae.
AUCUCGCGCUGCCCCACUGCACUGUCUGUGAAAAAGUUGUCUUCCACCAAAACUGGUCCCUGGUGCCAAAAAGGAUAUGAUGGGAGUAAGUGAGAUCGUGCAGAAGUACUGACUCUAAAGGCAUUUGGAUGAGAUGAGUUGGCAUCCCAGUGGGUACCGAGGGCAAGAUUGCAGGCUUCAUCAACCAUUAACAUCCGGAGAGUGAGCCAUGGUCCAGUCUUCCCCAUGCUGACUGUGCGUAUCUCGUCAGCCCUUCACUCCCUAGCAAGAGACAGCACGGUGAAGAUCAUGGGCUGCAGACCUUCAGACUUGGUUUUCAUCCUGGCUCCUCUCUCUGUUUGCUGUACAACCUCA